This 405-nucleotide ribosomal RNA is filed under the name uncultured bacterium. RNAcentral's name for it is "partial 16S ribosomal RNA". It matches the Rfam family "Bacterial small subunit ribosomal RNA", at positions 30 to 526 of the family's 1533-position model. The record is from RNAcentral.
AUUGAACGUUAGCGGGAUGCUUUACACAUGCAAGUCGAAAGAGUAGCGUACGGGUGAGUAAUAUUACGGACCGUGCCCACUAGCGGGGGAUAACUACUCGUAAGAGUUGCUACUAACGCAUUCCAAUGAAGCGGCCGCUAUGCGAUUAGCGAGUUGGUGGGGUAAAGGCUCACCAAGGCAACGUUCCAUAGCUGGUUUGAGAGGACGACCAGCCACACUGGGACAGAGACACGACCCAGACUCCUACGGGAGGCAGCAGUGGGGAAGUUUUGACAAGGAGGGAAACCCUGAUCCAGCCCUCCCGCGUGUAUGAGAAGGCCUUCGGGUUGUAAAGUACUUUUGGCAGAGAAGCGGUAUCUGCAGAAUAAGCACCGGCUAACUACGUGCCAGCAGCCGCAGUAAUAC